Molecule: long non-coding RNA, 717 nt
Organism: Ictalurus punctatus (channel catfish)
Lineage: Eukaryota; Metazoa; Chordata; Actinopteri; Siluriformes; Ictaluridae
Source: Ensembl
UUGUCUAGUCUGUUGAUAUCUGGUUUGCUUGGUAGCGAGUGUGCUUGGUAGUUAGUAUGUUUGGUAGCUAACGUGUUUGGUAGCUAGUUUGCUUGUUAGCUCAUUUGUUUGGUAGCUCAUUUGUUUGGUAGCUAGCUUGUUUGGUAGUUUGUUUGGUAGCUAGCUUGUUUGGUAGCUCAUUUGUUUGGUAGCCACUUUGCUUGGUAGUUAGCUUGCUUGGUAGCUACUUCGUUUGGUAGCCCCUUUGUUUGGUAGUUAGUUUGUUUGGUAGCCCCUUUGUUUGGUAGUUAGUUUGUUUGGUAGCUAGGUUGCUUGGUACCCCUUUUGCUUGGUAGAUAGUUUGUUUGGUAGCCCCUUUGCUUGGUAGAUAGUAUGUUUGGUAGCCCCUUGCUUGGUAGAUAGUUUGUUUGGUAGCCCCUUUGCUUGGUAGAUAGUUUGUUUGGUAGCCCCUUUGCUUGGUAGUUAUUUUGUUUGGUAGCCCCUUUGCUUGGUUAGUUUUAGUUUGCUUGGUAGCUACUUUGUUUGGUAGCCCCUUUGCUUGGUAGUUAGUUUGUUUGGUAGUAGUUUGUUUGGUAGUUAGUUUGUUUGGUAGCCCCUUUGCUUGGUAGUUAGUUUGUUUGGUAGCUACUUUGCUUGGUAGUUAAUUUGUUUGGUAGCUACUUUGUUGAUAGCUAGUUUAUUUGGUCGCUAGUUUGUUUGGUAGCUACUUGUUGCUAG